UACGGGAGGCAGCAGUGGGGAGUGGACAAUGGGGAAACCUGAUCCAGCCAUCACGUGUGCGAUGAAGGCCUUCGGGUUGUAAAGCACUUUUGGCAGGAAAGAAACGGCGCAGGACAAUACCGUGCAACUGACGUACCUGCAGGGCCAAGCACCGGCUAACUACGUGCCAGCAGCCGCGGUACAUACGUAAGGGUGCAAGCGUUAAUCGGAAUUACUGGGCGUAAAGCGUGCGCAGGCGGUUCGGAAAGAAAGAUGUGAAAUCCCAGAGCUUAACUGGAACUGCAUUUUUAACUACCGAGCUGGAGAGUGUCCAGAGGGAGGUGGAAUUCCGCGAUGUGGUGAAAUGCGUAGAUAUGCGGAGGAACUACCGAUGUGAAGGCGACCUCCUGGGAUAACGCGACGCUCAUGCGGCAGUGGGGAGCAAACGGGAUUAUAGAUACCCGGGUAGU
RNAcentral lists this unclassified non-coding RNA (449 nucleotides) under uncultured Bordetella sp. RNAcentral describes it as "partial 16S-23S ribosomal RNA intergenic spacer". It matches the Rfam family "Bacterial small subunit ribosomal RNA", at positions 340 to 794 of the family's 1533-position model. Lineage: Bacteria; Pseudomonadati; Pseudomonadota; Betaproteobacteria; Burkholderiales; Alcaligenaceae. The record is from RNAcentral.